Molecule: ribosomal RNA, 497 nt
Filed under: uncultured bacterium
Lineage: Bacteria
Description: partial 16S ribosomal RNA
Rfam family: Bacterial small subunit ribosomal RNA
Source: RNAcentral
GAUGAACGCUGGCGGCGUGCCUAAUACAUGCAAGUCGAGCGAACAGACGAGGAGCUUGCUCCUCUGACGUUAGCGGCGGACGGGUGAGUAACACGUGGAUAACCUACCUAUAAGACUUGGAUAACUUCGGGAAACCGGAGCUAAUACCGGAUAAUAUAUUGAACCGCAUGGUUCAAUAGUGAAAGACGGUUUUGCUGUCACUUAUAGAUGGAUUCGCGCCGCAUUAGCUAGUUGGUAAGGUAACGGCUUACCAAGGCAACGAUGCGUAGCCGACCUGAGAGGGUGAUCGGCCACACUAGAACUGAGACACGGUCCAGAAUCCUACGAGAGGCAGCAGUAGGGAAUCUUCCGCAAUGGGCGGAAGCCUGCCGGAGCAGCGCCGCGUGAGUGAUGAAGGUCUUCGGAUCGUAAAACUCUGUUAUUAGGGAAGAACAAAUGUGUAAGUGACUAUGCACGUCUUGACGGUACCUAAACAGAAAGCCACGGCUAACUACGUG